UUUUAUGAUAAAUAAAGAGUAGUGGCUUAGUGGGAUUUAUACUGAUUAUAUGUAUGGAGGUCUAGAGUUCAAACAUUACUCUAAUUAAAUGUUAGUUUUAUUUUAUUUAUAUAGAAAAGUAUUAGAGAGUCUUUAUUUUUAGAAAUAUUAUAAAAAAAUUAUUAUUAUUAUUUAAAUUAAAUUAAUUCAUAGGGUCUUCUUUCAAAAUUUUCUCAACAGGCUUUGGGACUUUUUAUGUAAAUUUUUCCAUAAAUUUAUUAUUUGACUUUCUUGAAUCUUCUUAGUCGGUGCGGCAGAAGAGAGAGGGAGAGCUUACGAUUUUCUUUAUUUUCUUUUCCUCUCCUUAUCCUGAUCAAGUGCUGGACGCAGGGAGAGAUCAAGCGAAGCUUUAUCCUUUGUUUUUUUUCAUCAUUCUCCUUCCUUCCCUUCCCCACCGUCUUCAACAUCGCCGGUUUGGUCGUGGGUAAGCCGUCGUUCAUCGUCACUAGGAAGUCCAGAUCGCUGUUUCUCCCCCUCCCCUGCUUCGUCUCACUUUCUGUUUAGUCUCCUCAACUGCUGUUUAGUUCGUUUGUCGUCAAAAAUUAUGGCAACCGAAGUCCUUCUCUUCUUGUUUUUUUUCAACUGUCGCCGACUAAGGAGGGUUCUCUCUGUAACCUUGCUACGUUCAGGUCCUCCUCUGUUCUUCUCGUCUUCGUCUGUCUUCGCCACUCGUAAUUCGUGUUCCUGCCGUGGGUGGGUGUCAAAGCUGAAUCCCGCCAUUGGGGUGCUGCUCAAAGAAGAUUACACAAGAUCACAAGUAUUACUGGGGCAUUUGAUCAAACUGGUCCUCUUCUGUUCUUCUCGUCUUCGUCUGUCUUCGCCACUCGCAAUUCGUGUUCCUGUCGUGGGUAAGUGUGAAAGCUGAAUCCUGCCAUUAGGGUGCUGCUCCUUUGCCUCUUCUUAGCCUCGCCCCUUGCAAGGAGUUUCAGCACGGCCUUGCAUUUGGAUUUCUUCUCGUGGCUUACAAGCUACCAUAAUAAUUCAACUUUAACGUUGUGGACGUCCUCAUCAGAGUACGAUAGACUUGUAUACCCAUGUUCAUCACAAGAAGAGUUGUCCCAUGAUUUUAGCCCCUCAAUAAUGUGAACCCCACAAGAUGUCCUGCAUAUGCAAAUACUCAUAGUCAAAUUGCUUUAAAAACAAAAGUAAGAAUCAAUAAUAGAAAGUCACAUGUUAAUUUAAUGCACGUAUCUGUUUGGAGAUUAAGUUGUGCCCAUUUAACAUUAUUAUCAAAUUCUUUAUCAUUGUGAAAUAGUUGGGGUUUCACUGCAUACAACAAUUGGUGGAAGCAAUCUCAUACAACUAUAGUCAUUUUUUCUUCAUUUUCAUAUCUUCUAAUUUCUUCUUACCACAAGAAUGCUUGUGUGUAGUUUUUUAUCCUUUAAUCUAUUGUAUUUCCCUUCCAUCCACCAAUAAGUCAAGGAUGUAGAAGUUCAUGGUCUCUAUGCCCAAAGCAUAACAAAAUGAGUGACUUUGGAAGCAUGUGGGGUUAAAGAUCCACUAGAAAUCUGCAAUGUUGUACCUAACAUUAUCUUU
Prosopis cineraria is the source of this 1575-nucleotide RNA transcript. RefSeq lists it as uncharacterized. The transcript has 4 exons. NCBI's taxonomy places the organism in Eukaryota, Viridiplantae, Streptophyta, Magnoliopsida, Fabales, Fabaceae. The record is from RefSeq and is a predicted model, not a curated record.